This is a non-coding RNA of Pelobates cultripes (western spadefoot toad), 226 nucleotides long. The record is from the annotation of a GenBank genome assembly. NCBI's taxonomy places the organism in Eukaryota, Metazoa, Chordata, Amphibia, Anura, Pelobatidae.
CCCCCUCCCUGAGCCUUACCUUUGUCCGUGGAGGGGGGAAUCUUUAUCCCUGGUGGUCCGGUGGCAGAAUAAGCUUGUUUGCACCCCUGGUGGGUGCAGCCAAUCCUGAAGAGCUCCCUCCCUGGCCGGCCAUGGUAGUGCAGCGGGGUCAGGCUGCCUGUAACACUGAUAGAGCAGCUCCGCAUAGGGCUGCUCAGUUACAGACAGCCUGCAUGCUGUGUUCAGC